RNAcentral lists this ribosomal RNA (433 nucleotides) under uncultured bacterium. RNAcentral describes it as "partial 16S ribosomal RNA". It matches the Rfam family "Bacterial small subunit ribosomal RNA", at positions 29 to 507 of the family's 1533-position model. The record is from RNAcentral.
AACGAACGCUGGCGGCAUGCCUAACACAUGCAAGUCGAACGAGACCUUCGGGUCUAGUGGCGCACGGGUGCGUAACGCGUGGGAACCUGCCCUUAGGUUCGGAAUAACUCCCCGAAAGGGGUGCUAAUACCGGAUAAUGUCUUCGGACCAAAGAUUUAUCGCCUUUGGAUGGGCCCGCGUUGGAUUAGCUAGUUGGUAGGGUAAAAGCCUACCAAGGCGACGUUCCAUAGCUGGUCUGAGAGGAUGAUCAGCCACACUGGGACUGAGACACCGCCCCGACUCCUACGGGAGGCAACCAGUGGGAAAAAUGGGCCAUGGGCCGAAGGCCGAUCCAACAAUGCCGCGUGGAGGGUUGAGGGCUUAAGGUUGUUAAGCUCUUUUACCCGGGAUGAUAAUGACAGUACCGGGAGAAUAAGCUCCGGCUAACUCCGUG